UCCUCGUUUAAACGAGGCAGUCCGUCCAGAGUGCUUCGAACUUUCGUUCGAGUGGCAACAGGACGCAAGGGUUGCGCUCGUUGCGGGACUUAACCCAACAUCUCACGACACGAGCUGACGACAGCCAUGCAGCACCUGUGUUCCAAUUCCCUUUCGGGCACAGCCACCUUUCAGCAGCCUUCCAGACAUGUCAAGGGUAGGUAAGGUUGUUCGCGUUGCAUCGAAUUAAUCCACAUCAUCCACCGCUUGUGCGGGUCCCCGUCAAUUCCUUUGAGUUUUAAUCUUGCGACCGUACUCCCCAGGCGGUCGACUUCACGCGUUAGCUACGACACAGAAGGGGAUAAUUCCUCCUACAUCAAGUGCACACCGUUUACGGCUAGGACUAC
RNAcentral lists this unclassified non-coding RNA (386 nucleotides) under uncultured Pseudomonadota bacterium. RNAcentral's name for it is "uncultured proteobacterium contains 16S-23S intergenic spacer region". The record is from RNAcentral. Lineage: Bacteria; Pseudomonadati; Pseudomonadota.